AGAGUUUGAUCAUGGCUCAGGAUGAACGCUGGCGGCGUGCCUAACACAUGCAAGUCGAGCGAAGCAUUUUACUUUGAAUCUUUCGGGAGGACGAGUGAUCUGACUGAGCGGCGGACGGGUGAGUAACGCGUGGGUAACCUGCCUCACACAGGGGGAUAACAGUUAGAAAUGACUGCUAAUACCGCAUAAGACCACAGCACCGCAUGGUGCAGGGGUAAAAACUCCGG
This 227-nucleotide ribosomal RNA is filed under the name uncultured bacterium. Its description in RNAcentral is "partial 16S ribosomal RNA". It matches the Rfam family "Bacterial small subunit ribosomal RNA", at positions 8 to 214 of the family's 1533-position model. The record is from RNAcentral.